GUCUGGAUAGCUCAAAUGGCAGAGCAUUGGACUGAAAAUCCAAAUGUGAUGGUUCAAUUCCAUCUCCAGGCA
This 72-nucleotide transfer RNA is filed under the name Pharyngomonas kirbyi. RNAcentral describes it as "tRNA-Phe". It matches the Rfam family "tRNA". Rfam says of the family: Transfer RNA (tRNA) molecules are approximately 80 nucleotides in length. Their secondary structure includes four short double-helical elements and three loops (D, anti-codon, and T loops). Further hydrogen bonds mediate the characteristic L-shaped molecular structure. tRNAs have two regions of fundamental functional importance: the anti-codon, which is responsible for specific mRNA codon recognition, and the 3' end, to which the tRNAs corresponding amino acid is attached (by aminoacyl-tRNA synthetases). tRNAs cope with the degeneracy of the genetic code in two manners: having more than one tRNA (with a specific anti-codon) for a particular amino acid; and 'wobble' base-pairing, i.e. permitting non-standard base-pairing at the 3rd anti-codon position. The record is from RNAcentral. Lineage: Eukaryota; Heterolobosea; Pharyngomonadea; Pharyngomonadida; Pharyngomonadidae.